AUUGAACGCUGGCGGCAUGCCUUACACAUGCAAGUCGAACGGCAGCACGGGAGCAAUCCUGGUGGCGAGUGGCGAACGGGUGAGUAAUGUAUCGGAACGUACCUUUCAGCGGGGGAUAACGUAGCGAAAGUUACGCUAAUACCGCAUAUUCUGUGAGCAGGAAAGCAGGGGAUCGCAAGACCUUGCGCUGAUUGAGCGGCCGAUAUCAGAUUAGCUAGUUGGUGAGGUAAAGGCUCACCAAGGCGACGAUCUGUAGCGGGUCUGAGAGGAUGAUCCGCCACACUGGAACUGAGACACGGUCCAGACUCCUACGGGAGGCAGCAGUGGGGAAUUUUGGACAAUGGGCGCAAGCCUGAUCCAGCCAUGCCGCGUGAGUGAAGAAGGCCUCGGUUG
Molecule: ribosomal RNA, 393 nt
Filed under: uncultured bacterium
Lineage: Bacteria
Description: bacterial SSU rRNA
Rfam family: Bacterial small subunit ribosomal RNA
Source: RNAcentral